CAAAUUGGACAAAGGAUGACUUUUACCAAAUUAAGAUCAUUCAUUCAUUUUGGGAGAUGGAAUGUACAUUCCAUCAAUCCCCUAAAUCCAAUGAUCUUAACCUAGCAAAGUCAAAUCAACCUUGACCUUUUUGGGAGAUGGAAUGUACAUUCCAUCAAUCCCCUAAAUCCAAUGAUCUUAACCUAGCAAAGUCAAAUCAACCUUGACCAAGGCCCAACAACACAAGUC
Molecule: long non-coding RNA, 228 nt
Filed under: Lathyrus oleraceus (garden pea)
Lineage: Eukaryota; Viridiplantae; Streptophyta; Magnoliopsida; Fabales; Fabaceae
Description: Pisum sativum (pea) long non-coding RNA (PSAT_LNC019205)
Source: RNAcentral